Molecule: ribosomal RNA, 490 nt
Filed under: uncultured bacterium
Lineage: Bacteria
Description: partial 16S ribosomal RNA
Rfam family: Bacterial small subunit ribosomal RNA
Source: RNAcentral
AUUGAACGCUGGCGGCAGGCCUAACACAUGCAAGUCGAACGGUAACAGGAAGCAGCUUGCUGCUUCGCUGACGAGUGGCGGACGGGUGAGUAAUGUCUGGGAAGCUGCCUGAUGGAGGGGGAUAACUACUGGAAACGGUAGCUAAUACCGCAUAAUGUCGCAGGACCAAAGAGGGGGACCUUCGGGCCUCUUGCCAUCGGAUGUGCCCAGAUGGGAUUAGCUUGUUGGUGGGGUAACGGCUCACCAAGGCGACGAUCCCUAGCUGGUCUGAGAGGAUGACCAGCCACACUGGAACUGAGACACGGUCCAGACUCCUACGGGAGGCAGCAGUGGGGAAUAUUGCACAAAGGGCGCAAGCCUGAUGCAGCCAUGCCGCGUGUAUGAAGAAGGCCUUCGGGUUGUAAAGUACUUUCAGCGGGGAGGAAGGGAGUAAAGUUAAUACCUUUGCUCAUUGACGUUACCCGCAGAAGAAGCACCGGCUAACUCCGUG